This is a long non-coding RNA of Elaeis guineensis (African oil palm), 1020 nucleotides long. RefSeq lists it as uncharacterized. Lineage: Eukaryota; Viridiplantae; Streptophyta; Magnoliopsida; Arecales; Arecaceae. The record is from RefSeq and is a predicted model, not a curated record.
CGCGUACAAAGGAUUUCUCCGGGCAGCAUCCUCGGCGUCCACAGCUCGUUGCGGAAGCUUCGAGCCAGCCCAGCCCAUCUAUGACGAGGAGGCCCGAGAACCCUAAUUCCCCAUCCUCCGAAACCCUAACCCACUCGCGACCGUCCAAUCUCGAUCCGACAUCUUCGCCGCCACUGCUAUUAUAAAUCAAGGCUCCUCCUUCCAUCUCUCCCCCAUCGAGCCUCUCGCACGGCAUAAUCCCUCUCCAUCCACGGCGCAUCAGAGAGAGCGGGGGGCAUGGUUCGGUGAAAGGCCUCGAUCUACCAUUUCAUCAGCGAAUCCCCGCCGCUUCUUUCCUUUGCCCUAGACUGCAAGCCCUGCGAGUCCUAGGUCUGCGACGGCCGUACCUAUUUUCUCUUUCCGGUAAAGUGAAGUACGAUCCCCUCACCUCCUUCACGGGAGAGGGAUAGUAGCUAAAGGGGUAUGGUUCUCCGUCUCUUUUAAGCCUACUAUUCUAUUUUUGGGGAGGCCGUCGUCGUUUGCCGUGAUACGGGCUCGCGGUGUUGGCAGAUUAGGCCAGAAGAAAGAAGCCGCGGGUUGUGUUCAGCGAUUCGCUGGUGAAAUGGUAGAUCGGGUCAUUCACCAAGCGAUGCCGAUCGAUCUCUUGUUCCGUGUCUCUUGCUCAGAUCUAUUUUGGAUCUGGGCUGGUUGUUUGCCGUGAUGGGCUGUGGAUGGCAUGGAUUCUGCCCUGAAAGGCCGAAAAUCUAGGAGGGUGGUUUUUGUGGAUUUUGGAUAUCAAAGGUGAUCCAGAUCAAUAACGUGGAGAAAGACAGUCUAACUGCCAACAGCCUCCAGCUGAAGCUAGUGAUAAUUUGUGGUCACUCAGGCUGUUCUGCUUUCAAUUGUAUUCAAUUGGAGUCAUUUUGUUGUCAUCAUGUAUCCAUUGUACAUGAAUACACAUACUCCAUUGUACAUGAAUACACAUACACUGUAAUACCAGUGUUACUGAAGAAUAAUAUUGUUCCUUAAAUCGUUAUAUUU